GGUAGGGGCAGGGGACAGAACAAUAGAAAACUCAAGCUCUGACUCUGUAUUCUAAGAACAAUGUGAAUCAAUGAGUUAUAACAAAGACAAUAUUCAAUAGUAGGAAAUUAGGUACAGUUUAAGGUUAAUAUGUAUGUAUACUAGAUUUUAUACCCCCCCAUCUUAAAAUGAAAUUCCAGAAAGAGAAGUACUUUAGAAAGCAGACAUGUUAUCCAUGUUAUCGAGAUGAACCCCUUGGUCUUUUGAAUUCAGAUUGACUGGUUUCAAAGAAAAAUAUGGGGUUUUUGCCUAUACUGAAACUAGCAAAUUGUUUCUUACUAUCUUCUUACACAGUCUCAGAAGUUGUGUUUUGUUAGCCCAGUUCUACAGAAUAUUCACAUAAUUAGAUAACAUUAUUGAAACCUAGAAGAUGGGAAAAAUGCUAUUUUCCCCCUCCAGCUACAAACUAACAGGGCUAUUUGGCAGCAUCCUGGCUACCUUUGACUUUUCUUCAGCCAAAGGAAAUAUCAAAGACCCGGUUGCCUAGAGAAGAAUAGUUAUAUUAUUUAUAUUUUGAAGGCAGCAUUCAGUUUCCAUGACCAUCCGUGGCUUGUUAAGGAAAUCUGUGUCUUAUGCCACUCAGAGAUAGCUCGAAUUGCCUGUCAGGAGAUGUCUGGGCAGCCUUGUAAACUCAGAAUGACUUCUCAAAUCCUGCUAGGUUUUCCCAGCGAUGUGCUUUCCUCCGCGCUGAAGCCCUGGGAGUCAUGUCAGCCCAAGGAAAAAGGAAAGCCAAACUGAGAGACGCGCCGAAAUUUGGAGCUUGGAGUUGAGAACUGAAACUAGGAAGAAAGGCGGUGGUGGGUACCGAUCCAGACGCGCCCCCCUUUUAAUGCUGUCAGAUAAGUUGCUGUCAGGCUCUUUAGCGCGCUGCUGGCCCCGGGCGCCCGCUGCACCGCCACCUGCUUCGGGGCAGUAAUUAAUCAGUACCUGGGCUCACUCGACCGGUGAGAUGGCUCCAGCCACGCGCAGAGCCAUGGGGCCGAGGGCCGGGUGGGUCUGGACGUACUUCAAGAGACAUAAGUCUUUUGCGACUGAGAUCUCAUCCCACCAUUGCUGAUCUCACAGUACAGAGCUCUUAAUCCGGUGCGGGUACAGCUCUGGUCAACUAAGGGGUGGUGGUAAAAGUUGACCAAAGAAAAGUUGUGAGUAUGAGAUUUCUACCGCAAUAAUGACUGAGUGUGGCGCUGCUUUCUUUAUACAGUAGAUGCAAAUUCUGGGAACAGGCAAAUAGUGUGUCAAAUCUGGGGCACUGUGGUUAACACCGGGCAUGGAGCAAACAAGACUCACCACCCACAAAUUGCACUCUUUUUAAACCCAUUGUCGCUUUGGGCUCAGAUCCUAAGAUUUCGUGUGCCAGUUUCCUAUGGUGAGGGAGUGGUCGGAAAGAGGAAUCAAGCGAGGGCCAGAACUUCGGGGUUCUGGUGGAGGGGAG
This 1471-nucleotide long non-coding RNA is filed under the name Sus scrofa (pig). RNAcentral describes it as "lncRNA (ENSSSCG00040020557.1)". Lineage: Eukaryota; Metazoa; Chordata; Mammalia; Artiodactyla; Suidae. The record is from RNAcentral.